This 261-nucleotide long non-coding RNA is filed under the name Zea mays. Its description in RNAcentral is "long non-coding RNA NONZMAT002813". Lineage: Eukaryota; Viridiplantae; Streptophyta; Magnoliopsida; Poales; Poaceae. The record is from RNAcentral.
AAUUGUAAAUGUGAUGCUAGGUGGUUCCUAGAGGGGUCGAGUGUAAACGAGUUGGUCCGGGUGUGUCAAGUUCUGCUCUUCAUGAACUACUUUGGUAACUGCUCUAACAUAUACAGAAUUUCUUCUUAUUUUACCAUUCAAAUAGAGCAUGCUUCAGAGUGACCCUGAAUCAUGAUCUGAAAAACUACACCUGAUGAGCCACUGCUAGGAGAUAGCCAACUGCCAGCCUGUUAAGUUUGGACUCUGAAUAACUGUAAUGCU